AGAGUUUGAUCCUGGCUCAGGACGAACGCUGGCGGCACGCUUAACACAUGCAAGUCGAACGCUUUCGAGACUUCGGUCUCAAUGAAAGAGUGGCGAACGGGUGAGUAACACGUGAGAAACCUGCCUUGAAGAUUGGGACAACCACUGGAAACGGUGGCUAAUACCGAAUACCUUCCUACCGUCGCAUGGCGGUUUGAAGAAAUGCUCCGGCGCUUCAAGAGGGUCUCGCGGCCUAUCAGCUAGUUGGUGAGGUAAUGGCUCACCAAGGCAUCGACGGGUAGCUGGUCUGAGAGGACGAUCAGCCACACUGGGACUGAGACACGGCCCAGACUCCUACGGGAGGCAGCAGUGGGGAAUCUUGCGCAAUGGGCGAAAGCCUGACGCAGCGAUGCCGCGUGGGGGAUGAAGGCUCUCGGGUCGUAAACCCCUUUCAGCAGGGACGAAAAUGACGGUACCUGCAGAAGAAGCCCCGGCCAACUACGUGCCAGCAGCCGCGGUAAUA
RNAcentral lists this ribosomal RNA (502 nucleotides) under uncultured Actinomycetes bacterium. Its description in RNAcentral is "bacterial SSU rRNA". It matches the Rfam family "Bacterial small subunit ribosomal RNA", at positions 8 to 525 of the family's 1533-position model. Lineage: Bacteria; Bacillati; Actinomycetota; Actinomycetes. The record is from RNAcentral.